AUCACUAAGCGGAGGAAAAGAAACUAACGAGGAUUCCCCUAGAGCGGCGAGCGAACCGGGAGAAGCCCAGCUUGAGAAUCCCGUCGUAGUCGAUUUGCGGCGGGAGUUGUAGUCUGGAGAAGUGUCCUCUGCAGCGGACCUGGCCUAAGUCCCCUGGAAAGGGGCGUCAGAGAGGGUGAGAACCCCGUCGGGCCGGGAGCCUGCUGCUCCACGAGGCACUGUCGACGAGUCGGGCUGUUUGGGAAUGCAGCCCUAAGUGGGAGGUAAAUUCCUUCCAAGGCUAAAUACGGGCGGGAGACCGAUAGCGAACAAGUACCGCGAGGGAAAGAUGAAAAGGACUUUGAAAAGAGAGUUAAAAAGUGCUUGAAAUUGCUGGGAGGGAAGCGAAUGGAGGCCUCGUGUGCGCCCCGGUCGGAUGCGGAACGGCGUUCAGCUGGUCCGCCGCUCGACGCGGGGCGCUGGUCGGCGUGGGCUUUUUUGAUUUCCGGCGGGAUAAAAGUCGGUCUUUUUGUCGGGCCGGCCGAUGCCGUCGGGGAGGCCGAGGAAUCGAAGUGCGCGCCAUUGGGCGGGCUCCCCCUCCACGGGGGAGCACCUGCGCACUCGGGACGCCGGCGUAGUGGGCUU
Molecule: ribosomal RNA, 624 nt
Filed under: Clevea hyalina
Lineage: Eukaryota; Viridiplantae; Streptophyta; Marchantiopsida; Marchantiales; Cleveaceae
Description: eukaryotic LSU rRNA
Rfam family: Eukaryotic large subunit ribosomal RNA
Source: RNAcentral